CCCUUAGAGUUUGAUCAUGGCUCAGGAUGAACGCUAGCGGCAGGCCUAACACAUGCAAGUCGAACGGUAACAGGGAAAAGCUUGCUUUUCCGCUGACGAGUGGCGCACGGGUGCGUAACGCGUAUACAAUCUACCUUUUGCUGUGGGAUAGCCCAGGGAAACUUGGAUUAAUACCGCAUAGUAUAUAAGAUCGGCAUCGUUUUUAUAUUAAAGGUUACGGCAAAAGAUGAGUAUGCGUCCUAUUAGCUAGAUGGUGUGGUAACGGCACACCAUGGCGACGAUAGGUAGGGGCCCUGAGAGGGGGAUCCCCCACACUGGUACUGAGACACGGACCAGACUCCUACGGGAGGCAGCAGUGAGGAAUAUUGGGCAAUGGAGGCAACUCUGACCCAGCCAUGCCGCGUGCAGGAAGACUGCCCUAUGGGUUGUAAACUGCUUUUAUACGGGAAGAAACACCGCUACGUGUAGCGGCUUGACGGUACCGUAAGAAUAAGGAUCGGCUAACUCCGUGCCAGCAGCCGCGGUAAUACGGAGGAUCCAAGCGUUAUCCGGAAUCAUUGGGUUUAAAGGGUCCGUAGGUGGAUAAUUAAGUCAGAGGUGAAAUCCUGCAGCUCAACUGUAGAAUUGCCUUUGAUACUGGUUGUCUUGAGUCAUUGUGAAGUAGUUAGAAUAUGUAGUGUAGCGGUGAAAUGCAUAGAUAUUACAUAGAAUACCGAUUGCGAAGGCAGAUUACUAACAAUGUACUGACACUGAUGGACGAAAGCGUGGGGAGCGAACAGGAUUA
This 784-nucleotide ribosomal RNA is filed under the name uncultured bacterium. RNAcentral describes it as "bacterial SSU rRNA". It matches the Rfam family "Bacterial small subunit ribosomal RNA", at positions 1 to 780 of the family's 1533-position model. The record is from RNAcentral.